Molecule: ribosomal RNA, 526 nt
Filed under: uncultured bacterium
Lineage: Bacteria
Description: bacterial SSU rRNA
Rfam family: Bacterial small subunit ribosomal RNA
Source: RNAcentral
ACAUCCAGAGAAUUUAGCAGAGAUGCUUAGUGCCUUCGGGAACUCUGAGACAGGUGCUGCAUGGCUGUCGUCAGCUCGUGUUGUGAAAUGUUGGGUUAAGUCCCGCAACGAGCGCAACCCUUUAUCCUUUGUUGCCAGCACGUAAUGGUGGGAACUCAAAGGAGACUGCCGGUGAUAAACCGGAGGAAGGUGGGGAUGACGUCAAGUCAUCAUGGCCCUUACGAGUAGGGCUACACACGUGCUACAAUGGCGCAUACAAAGAGAAGCGACCUCGCGAGAGCAAGCGGACCUCAUAAAGUGCGUCGUAGUCCGGAUUGGAGUCUGCAACUCGACUCCAUGAAGUCGGAAUCGCUAGUAAUCGUAAAUCAGAAUGUUACGGUGAAUACGUUCCCGGGCCUUGUACACACCGCCCGUCACACCAUGGGAGUGGGUUGCAAAAGAAGUAGAUAGCUUAACCUUCGGGAGGGCGUUUACCACUUUGUGAUUCAUGACUGGGGUGAAGUCGUAACAAGGUAGGCGUAGUGCU